This 535-nucleotide ribosomal RNA is filed under the name uncultured archaeon. Its description in RNAcentral is "bacterial SSU rRNA". It matches the Rfam family "Archaeal small subunit ribosomal RNA", at positions 463 to 997 of the family's 1478-position model. The record is from RNAcentral.
CGCCGCGGUAAUACCGGCGGCUCGAGUGGUGGCCACUUUUAUUGGGCUUAAAGCGUUCGUAGCUGGGUUAUUAAGUCCCUUGGGAAAUCCGACAGCUUAACUGUCGGGCGUCUAAGAGAUACUGGUAAUCUUGGAACCGGGAGAGGUGAGGGGUACUUCGGGGGUAGGAGUGAAAUCCUGUAAUCCUCGAGGGACCACCUGUGGCGAAGGCGCCUCACCAGAACGGCUUCGACAGUGAGGGACGAAAGCUGGGGGAGCAAACCGGAUUAGAUACCCGGGUAGUCCCAGCCGUAAACGAUGUGCGUUAGGUGUAUCGGUGACCACGAGUCACCGAGGUGCCGAAGGGAAACCGUGAAACGUACCGCCUGGGAAGUACGGUCGCAAGGCUGAAACUUAAAGGAAUUGGCGGGGGAGCACCACAACAGGUGGAGCCUGCGGUUUAAUUGGACUCAACGCCGGAAAUCUCACCGGAUAAGACAGCAGAAUGAUUGCCGGGCUGAAGACUCUGCAUGACUAGCUGAGGGGAGGUGCAUGG